UCCCGCGGUCACGGGGAAGGGUUGGGUGUAGGGAGCGGUGGCUAGGAGGGCUGUGCAGCCGAGUUGUGGCAAAGGGUGGCUGGUCCCGGAGCAACGGGAAACUGGCUCGAAUGCUGCUGUAACUUGACCGCAGAGCUAGAGAAUGGCCAAACUGGGCAUUUAAUCCAAGCAGUCUUCAUCCAAGAGCUCUCCAUCCUGCAGGACGAACUCAGCCCGUCAUCUGCUUCCCCCCUAAUUCAGCAGUUCUCAGAGAGGAAAUGGCAGCCACGUGCUUUCUCAUCACCCUCAGCUGAAGACAGCCUUGAAAAGCAAGAUGCUCUGGGCAGGACGGGAACUCUUCAGCCCAGGCUAGUUGGUUCCAGCUACCCCCAAAAACAUUCUCCAAAGGUAGCAGUUAAAAAAAGAAAAAGACAUGUCAGGAACUAUUGCUAUGCAGAUGGUCUUUCCUGAUAUGACCAUUCAGUGAA
Molecule: long non-coding RNA, 467 nt
Organism: Lepus europaeus (European hare)
Lineage: Eukaryota; Metazoa; Chordata; Mammalia; Lagomorpha; Leporidae
Exons: 3
Source: RefSeq, a predicted model, not a curated record